This is a long non-coding RNA of Amphimedon queenslandica, 125 nucleotides long. RefSeq lists it as uncharacterized. Lineage: Eukaryota; Metazoa; Porifera; Demospongiae; Haplosclerida; Niphatidae. The transcript is spliced from 2 exons. The record is from RefSeq and is a predicted model, not a curated record.
CAUUGUCAUUAGUCAUCCAUUGAUUAUAAAAAUUGUAAAAACACAUCAAUUUCAAAGACUGAAAAAUAUCAAAAAAUUAGGCUAUAUAUAUCACACCAUGCCAAAAGCAAAUAAUUAUUCAAGAC